Molecule: unclassified non-coding RNA, 4627 nt
Filed under: Hevea brasiliensis (rubber tree)
Lineage: Eukaryota; Viridiplantae; Streptophyta; Magnoliopsida; Malpighiales; Euphorbiaceae
Source: RNAcentral
UGGAGAUAAAAACUGGUCCCUUGACGUUCAUUAGCUCUGCAAGCUUCUUAGCACCACCCCAGGAUUAACAAUCGCGGAAAUUAAAGAACGAACAUCACGUCCUUUCAGAUUGUGUUUCAAGUCAUCUUAUGUUUAGUCUUCACAUUAUCAUGUAAUCUAAUUCUAAUUAGAUAAUUGAAAUUUCUUGACUGCCUAUCAAUUUUCUGUCAUAAUCUCGGAGGUGGAUCAUGCGUGAGAAAUAAGAACCUAAUAAUGAAUAUCAUCAUAUACAAAGAAGUUUGGUAACAACGCUAGUUUCUAAAAAGUCAAGACGCAAUCCGGCAUGACCACUAAGGGAAAAUUAUACCCGGUCCGCGUGUGGCCAAUUCUGCUCUGUGGAGGAUAUGAACUUGAUCCAAGCCACGGGGCAGUUCAGCCCCAUCCACUUCCUAGCAGUUAUGAUUGGUUUCAUUUCGAUUCGGGCGGUCACUGGUUCACGAUUUUGGAGGAGAAAAACUGAACCCAGCCCUUGCUAUUCCCGAGGCCCUUGAACCGUUGACCAAUCACAGGCCCAACUCCAACCGAGGCCGAAUUAAUUAUGCCCGAAGAUUGCAUUUAUAUACACAACUGGCAGGUUAGACGGUUAGUACCAAUGGUACUCCCCACUAGCAUGCUAACGGCUACAGUUCCACAAAAAUCACAGAAGCGCCACUCUAAUCCAAAAUUUGGCAAUUGUAAGGGACUCUGCAGUUCAAUACUCUGAUCCAGCAGCUCAGAUCUCUGCACCUUCUCAUUUUUCACAUCUACUUGAAACAAAAUUACGGGGGAGUAGUUGACGAGAGCCCAAUGCUAGACAACAUUCAAUGAACAACUCUACAUCUACGUUAGCAAUGUUCAAAAACCAAAGAUACAUUUAGUGAAUUCACAAUGAAAACAUGGUGCCAAAAGGAAGGUUAAAUUUUUACAGUCUUCCAGAAUAAAGGGGCGGGAAAUGAAGCUGAUUGAAUGUGAUCUUAUCGUUCUGCUCUGCGGUUUGGAUAUUUCAUCUUUUCCCACAGCCUCACCUUGUCAAGCAACUCUUGGAUGGUAUUCGAGGCAUCCUUCAGCUUUUUCCUCAAACUUUCCUCUUCCUUGUCUCGUCGGUCCCUCUCCUCCGAAAAAAUAUCAAUAAGACUUUCUUGUUCCUUGUUUAAUUCCUCAAUUUUUUGUUGCGCCUCCUUUAACUGCAUCUCAAGUGAUUUACACUUUCCACACUGCAAAUCAUGCCUCGAUUCACCUUGAAACUUUGCUUCACUUUUCUCUAAUCUUUCUUUCAGCUUACGGUUCUCUUGCUUCAGUUGAUCAAUAACGCGUAAAUCUGAUUCUGAAAGGGCACGUUGACAAUGAUCAACAUCACCUACCUUUGAAUUGGAUAGUGUGACUGCUCGCUGGGAGGAAUCUUCAAAGUAUGAAGAUGACUGAUGCAGCCCCUCUUCUCUAGUAGGAUGAGCAAUACACACAUCAUCAUCAGAAACAUCUUCUAAAGAAGGUGAUGAUGGUUCAUGAGACCUCGUUUUUCGUCCAGAUUUGGUUGGUGUCUUCGUUUUGCCACUUCCUUUGCUUGAUACAUGUCCAUUCCCAUAGCCAAAGUCCCCAUUUCUGGUAAAGCUCUCUGAUCCUUUUCCUCCUUUUUGGUAUACAUGAGAAAAGAAUUUGCCAGAAUACGAAGAACCCUUGCCAUUACUGGCAGUAUGCUUAGAUUGAGAAGAUAUGUGUGAGUUGUCAGGAGAAGAUCCUUCUUCUGUACUCUCAUUUAUGAGUUUCUUAUUUCGCCGCGGAGCAUACCCAAUUUUGUGACAGUAAGUGCACCAGUAAGUCUUUUGCAUUUGUAAAAGCCGAGCCUCAAGUCUAGCAAGAACUGUUGUACGUUCGAAUCCCUGCUUAUCAUGAGCUGGUUCAACGAAAUUAGCUUCCAGUACGCCUAUAACUCCACGGCCAUCACUUCCAGCUGCAUUCCAAAGCCUCCAAAAUGGCUGAAAAACAACAGUGCUUAGUCAAAGGAUAACAAAAAUCAAUUUAAAAUUAUGUUCAGCAAACAUGAGCAACAUGAAAAUACGGAUGUGGGGGAGUUCCUGGUACCAAGAUAUAUGUUAUCAUGCAAUUUUACAGAGAUGUUAGCUAGGAAAAUACUUCCUCAUUACCAUGUUUCAAAGUACAUUAAACUUAACAAUGGGGAUUAUAACUUUCUCCCUUCCUAAUUCCCAUAAACACUCCACCCCAUUCAGCAUAACACAGGAACAGUUAAACUUUCUCUGAGACAAAUUUACAAAAUAUACACCAUUACCAUAUCCAUUAACCCAUAGCUUAACAAGACCAGUUUUGCAUUAAUCAUCUUUCUUAAAAAUACUCAGCAAUUUUGGAAGAGCAAGAAAAUAAACAAUCCAAAGAAAAAGAAAACAAAUUUAAAAAGAAGGAUGAGGCAAUCGUGAUGAUAUACUAGGAAAGAACACAAAAGAUAGUACUAACAAGUGCAUGCAUAUAUUUAUCACUUCAUCAAACAAACCUUAAUGAGUCUAUUUUUGUGAUAAACAUUGAAACCUUGAACAUCAACAUGAUAUUUUGCAUCCUUCACAAAGCCAACAGUCACGAUAGCUGCCAUAUUUGAGUCUUUUGGGACCCCAUCAGCACCAUGCUGGGGCCGAUACGUUAUCUCUUGAGACAGCAUCAUAUCAUUCACUAUAUUGUGGUGCUCAACAUCUUUUCCGCGAAGAAUGAUUCUAAAGCCAGGAGGAAUUCUCAGGUAGAGAAUUGAGGUGUAACUCCUUAAUGAGUGCCUAUAAGUCAGGAAGUGCCUGGAGUUUGGAAACUCUCUUGCCAUCUGUAUAUUCUUCUCAUCUCGAUUGACACCUCUAAGUUGGAUAUCAUGAGGAUCAGAGUCAAAAUCAAGCUCCAAUAAUCCUUGAUCAUCCUCCCAAAGAUUAUAUAUUAUUAUUCUUGUCCCAUGAUCUGACAUCAGAUUAAACUGACGAAGGAGGUCUGCCUCACUGGAAAAUGGGGACCAUUGAACUAAUGUUUCUGCAUUUCUGUUCCAAUCACCACUAGAGACUCGUGUCAUCUUGUUCCAUUCUCGCCCAUUUCUAUCAUAGUCAAGCAUGGGUACCACAAUAUCUUCUUUUCCUGUGCUCUUGAGGAAGGUGUAUGACAGUAACCCAAUGCUCUGCGUAGGACUUUUUCCAUCUUUCCCACGACAACGUGAGAAUACAAUAACAUCUGCUCCAAGCCUCAUGGUGCUAGUCUUAAAUCCAUUGCCAUACUGUCCAAUGGUGUUGGCCACUUUGCUUUUUGCAGAAUACCCCAAGGACAUGCAUUGUCGCAUUUUAUCAGGAUCCAUUCCACCACCAUUAUCUUCAAUCAAAAGCAUUCUGCUUCCAUCCUUCCUACCUUCAAGCAUGUCAAUGUUAACAUAUGUUGCUCCAUUGCAAACCUCAUCCAAUGAGUUGUCUAGAAGUUCUGCAAAUGCUCCAAGAGCCCACUUAUGACUGGUUGCAUUGGAAUGUAAAAAUUUAGGAUGAACCCUGACAUGAUCCAUCCCCUCUACAGAUUACAAACAAAGAUGAUAGUGUAAGAAAUGAAAUGCAAUACUUUAUCGAAUAGAAAUUAGAGACUAAAUAUUCUCAAAAGUACAUAAACACUAAGAUAAGCAUCAAUAAUUAAUGUAAUCUCAAAAACUUAAUACUUUGUAGAUUUAGUCUCAAGAAAAUUGAAAGCCACCAAAUUAAAAAUGUAAAUAUAAUUCCGCCACUUAUAUAUUGAGUCUAAUCCUGUACUGAUAUAAUGGGAAAUUUAGUCUGUUGACAGUGUAGUUCAUUGAGCAAGAGAUGCAAAGAUGGUGCCACUGAUCAAUAAAAAAAGAAGAAGCAGUUCCAUCACACAAGAAACAUCCAUCUCCACAUUAAAGGUAAAAUCCACCAUUUUCCCGAAGACAAAUCCCAAUCACCGCAAGGAGCACCCUCAUAGUCUCCAGCUUUCCAAAACUGUUUACAACUCUGACCAGUUAAACUCACAUUCCCAUUCCCCAAUGGCGCAGUCGGAGUUAAACUCACAUCCGCGGACUGCGAUGGCGCCAACGCCACCGAAGCCGGAGAAAGGGGAGCCAGAAACCCCACUGGCAACACCACCCCCAGCUCAUCGAGCUUCCUCUUCUUCUUGGAAAAGCCGUUGCCGCUCGAAGAAACCCUAGGUCUCGUCGAAACACCAGCGUUGCCAUUGUUCCCGUUAUCCGAGUCAGAGUCAGAAUCGCUACUGCUGCUGCUAGCGAGUUCGAUCAACACUGCAGGCCCUUUAGAAACGCUGUCGUUCCCUCGAUUCGGUUCGGGGGUACGCAAGGAGUCGAUGAUCUCUUUCUUUACGGAAAAUUCCAUGAAUUCUUUUUCCUUUCUUUUCUCUAAAGAAGAAACGUAAGAGUUACAUUCAAAUUGACCUGCCUUUGCAUGAGAGAUUCAGAUUCUUCCAAAAUACAGAUUAAUAUUUUUGCAAGACAACGGCAUUAUUUCAGGGAGCUGAUGCCGCCGUUGGAUUGCUGCACUUAUCUUGGGCUCCGUGCUGGGUCUCAAUUCAGAUUCGGCUUGGCGCUCGGAAGAUGUGUAUGCAAGGGAAAAUUUUAUCACUC